UAGUGAGCCCUGUCUUGUCAGUACUGCAAGGCUUCAAUCAAAUAGCACUUGAACUCUUUUCAAAGACUUGCAAGAUUGAAAAGAUUCCAGCCUGUUGAACGGAGAGUAAUAGGCAACAGAAGAUGACUUUGGACAAUUUAAGAAAGGAAAUUUAUCAGGAACUCAGCACAUCAACUGGAAAGCUGAGACUCAGGCUUGCAUUGCCAUGUCACAUGAAGCUGCUUCUCCCGAUGAAGCACAGAUUGAAAUGUCACACCAGCACGAUCAAUUAGAUGAUGUAGAAGAGAGGCAUUUGCUACCUGACCUUAAUCCACAGGGCAAGAAGGGCUGAGUGGAGAAGACUAAAUACAGAGAGACUCAAAGGAAGAGGAAAUGGGCAGAGCAUAGUUUAAAUAGGCACAAAGCAGCAUAAAUGUUGAUUCAUGACGAAAAGGACAUCCUCAGGUUAAAGACUUCUUAUGAUGUAUACUGGUGCACUCACUCGUUCAACUCGGAGUGAGUGCAAAGUAAAUAUAAACACCUUUCACACAAGGAAUAUGACAGAAAAGGAAGUAGGAUCCAUUUGGUUGCUUCCGAGUUCAAUUGUGAGAUAUCUAUUUAUCACAGCAGUGGAAAACCAGCAGGAGGUUCAGAGGAAAGCCAUGGAAACAGGAGGACCAGGAAAAUGAAAUGCAAACAAGUAUCCUGGGGAGUUUUGCAGCUGAUGAACCAAUGAUGAACCAAUCAUGAUGCAGGAUAGUUCAUAAGUCACCAAACCUCCCUUGGCAGUUUAACAUCUUUUGUUCUAGAAGGUUGUUUCACAGCUGUACCUGAACAUUGGCUCCACUGAAGGAAGAGAAUUGAAAGGGAAUUUGAAUUUCAAAGCGAACAACAGAAGCAACAGUGUUGCCAUAAUCUGCAGGCUCUUACUUGAACACAGAAAAGCAGGAUGCCUUCUCAGAGAUAAACUGCCUUAAGAAAGGAGAUUGUUCCACGGAUGUUAUCAAAGCUUAAUGAACUAAAUAUUGUCCUUCUCUCCAGGUAUGGGUUUUGGCACUAUUUCCAUUUCCAAUGGAGUUGAAGUUAUUCAUAGAACAUUACCUUUUAUAAAAUCCUAACAAGCAAAUCCCCACCAAAUCCCUAAAAUGGAAAAAUUCAAACCCAGUCCAUCUGGCUCUCACGUUGUUUUAGCCCUCCCCCCACCUCCCGAUAAUGGUUCCCCAGGGCAGUAAGGGUGGGCAGGCGGGCAGUGUGAGGACCUGUGCUGCUCACAUGUGGUUUCCGCAGGAAAAGAGGUCGCACUUUGCUUACGAGGAAGCUCUACUUCUGGUCCUGCAGGCAGUUUGCCAUCCCAAACCCAACCAGCCAACCAAACAACGCCCCCACCCCAAGAAUUUGUACCUUAAAGGAAAUAGAACUUGAGGUAAAUGAGAAAAAAAAAAAUAAAACAUCUAUUCAAAGCAUCCGAUGCCUUAGUGAGCAGAAGAAUGACACCUUCCUGGAAUUAAAGUAAUUGAAGCUGUCUUUUAACAUGUGAAUUGUCUAUCUCUGCUUGCUUCCUCUUAGCCUUACCGGGCACUCCAGAAAACUCACAGCGUUCCCUCCCUCCGGCUUUUAAUCGCGCUGUUCCCAGGCCACAGCCCUCUCUGUAGCUGUCCAGGAAUCCUAAUGGUUCAAGGUCUUGCUGGACUUUCUAUUCCUCCUGAGACUUCCCUUCUUCCUGCUGCCUUUUCAUUAUUCUACAAUUUUUUUCAGUUACAUUUUUAACUAUGUAGGAGCAAAGACCAUGUCUUGUAGUUUUAAAAGGCCACCUCUCUUACAGUGCCUGGUUAUAGUUCUGGGCACACAGUAGAUGUAAAUUGAAUACAUUUUAUCUGAUGUUUCGAAGACCUGCCUU
Long non-coding RNA from Lynx canadensis (Canada lynx), 1876 nucleotides. RefSeq lists it as uncharacterized. The record is from RefSeq and is a predicted model, not a curated record. The transcript has 6 exons. Lineage: Eukaryota; Metazoa; Chordata; Mammalia; Carnivora; Felidae.